UUAACUGAAACCAAAAAGAGGUAUAUUACUGUUAAUAAUAUAAUUGAAUAAUAAAUUCCAGUUAAG
This 66-nucleotide transfer RNA is filed under the name Validiblatta australasiae (Australian cockroach). Its description in RNAcentral is "tRNA-Asn". The record is from RNAcentral. Lineage: Eukaryota; Metazoa; Arthropoda; Insecta; Blattodea; Blattidae.